CAAAAACAUGUCUUUUAGAAUUGAAUUUAAAGUCGGACCUGCCCACUGAAUAAUUGAAUGGCCGCAGUAUUUUAACUGUGCAAAGGUAGCAUAAUCAUUAGCUUUUUAAUUGAAGGCUUGUAUGAAUGGUUGGACAAGAUAUAUAUUGUUUCAUAUAAAUUUAUAGAAUUUUAUUUUUUAGUUAAAAAGCUAAAAUUUGAUUAAAAGACGAGAAGACCCUAUAGAUCUUUAUAAUUAUUAAAUUUUAUUUAUUAAGAAUAUUUUAUAUUUAAUUUAUAUAAUUAUUUUAUUGGGGUGAUAGUAAGAUUAAUUUAACUCUUAUAUAGUUAAGCCAUAAAUUAAUGAUUAAUUUGAUCCAGUAUUAUUGAUUAAUAAAAUAAGUUACCUUAGGGAUAACAGCGUAAUUUUUUUAGAGAGUUCAUAUCGAUAAAAAAGAUUGCGACCUCGAUGUUGGAUUAAGAGAUAAGUUUGGGCGCAGCCGUUCAAAUUUAAAGUCUGUUCGACUUUUUAAUUCUUACAUGAUCUGAGUUCAAACCGGA
This 539-nucleotide ribosomal RNA is filed under the name Prosoeca sp. 23 GLT-2023a. RNAcentral's name for it is "partial large subunit ribosomal RNA". It matches the Rfam family "Bacterial large subunit ribosomal RNA", at positions 1808 to 2620 of the family's 2925-position model. The record is from RNAcentral. Lineage: Eukaryota; Metazoa; Arthropoda; Insecta; Diptera; Nemestrinidae.